This 435-nucleotide long non-coding RNA is filed under the name Hordeum vulgare. Its description in RNAcentral is "long non-coding RNA (HVUL_LNC017552)". The record is from RNAcentral. Lineage: Eukaryota; Viridiplantae; Streptophyta; Magnoliopsida; Poales; Poaceae.
AGAUCCGCGCCCCGGGACGCCUCGCCGGGCUCAUCUUGGGGCGCCAAGAGCGCGAGCGCGGUCGCGGAGCGUGGCGGACGAUCCGGUUCUACACCGAGAACGGCUUUUCCCAGGGGCUGUACCCGGAGAACGGCUGGUCCACGUUCGCCUUCUUCGGGAGGUCCGUCUUCCACCUGAGCGAGGAACUGGACAUACACGUCGGCGUCCGCAACGGGAGACCUGCCCCACGGCUCCGUCAUGCGGUGCCUUCUUUCCGAGAGGAGGACCUGCCCGACGGCUUCGUCGUGUGCGUCCGCGCCGGCCGCCAAGGGAGGCUCACCCCACUCGUCAUCGACCUGCCCCACGGCGGCGACGGCGAGACCCUCGAGAUUAUCGUCGUGCUCUCCGGGACUCAAAGUGAGAGCCUCUCUCUGACCCUCUCUCUCUCUCUCCAUG